GACGGCAGCACGAGGAGCUUGMUCCUUGGUGGCGAGUGGCGAACGGGUGAGUAAUAUAUCGGAACAUGCCCAGUAGCGGGGGAUAACUACUCGAAAGAGUGGCUAAUACCGCAUACGUCCUACGGGAGAAAGCAGGGGAYCUUCGGGCCUUGCACUAUUGGAGUGGCCGAUAUCGGAUUAGCUAGUUGGUGGGGUAAAGGCCUACCAAGGCRACGAUCCGUAGCUGGUUUGAGAGGACGACCAGCCACACUGGGACUGAGACACGGCCCAGACUCCUACGGGAGGCAGCAGUGGGGAAUUUUGGACAAUGGGGGAAACCCUGAUCCAGCCAUCCCGCGUGUGCGAUGAAGGCCUUCGGGUUGUAAAGCACUUUUGUCAGGAAAGAAAUCGCCCGGGAUAAUACCUCGGGUGGAUGACGGUACCUGAAGAAUAAGCACCGGCUAACUACGUGCCAGCAGCCGCGGUAAUACGUAGGGUGCAAGCGUUAAUCGGAAUUACUGGGCGUAAAGCGUGCGCAGGCGGUUCGGAAAGAAAGAUGUGAAAUCCCAGGGCUUAACCUUGGAACUGCAUUUUUAACUACCGRGCUAGAGUGUGUCAGAGGGGGGUGGAAUUCCGCGUGUAGCAGUGAAAUGCGUAGAUAUGCGGAGGAACACCGAUGGCGAAGGCAGCCCCCUGGGAUAACACUGACGCUCAUGCACGAAAGCGUGGGGAGCAAACAGGA
This 721-nucleotide ribosomal RNA is filed under the name Bordetella sp. RNAcentral describes it as "bacterial SSU rRNA". Lineage: Bacteria; Pseudomonadati; Pseudomonadota; Betaproteobacteria; Burkholderiales; Alcaligenaceae. The record is from RNAcentral.